This 127-nucleotide small RNA is filed under the name Marmota monax (woodchuck). Lineage: Eukaryota; Metazoa; Chordata; Mammalia; Rodentia; Sciuridae. The record is from RNAcentral.
GCCAGGCGCGGUGGUGCACCCCUGUAAAUCCAGCAACUCAGGAGGCUGAAGCAGGAGGAUCACAAGUUCAAGGCUAGCCUCAGCACCUUAGCAAGGCCCUGAGCAACUUAGUGAGACCCUGUCUCAA